UACGAGGGGUGCAAGCGUUGCUCGGAAUUAUUGGGCGUAAAGGGUGUGUAGGUUGUCUCGUUUGUCUGAGGUGAAAUCCCCGAGCUUAACUUGGGAAGUGCCUUAGAAACGGCGAGACUAGAGUUCUAUAGAGGGUAGCGGAAUUCCCGGUGUAGCGGUGAAAUGCGUAGAGAUCGGGAGGAACAUCAGAGGCGAAGGCGGCUACCUGGAGAGAUACUGACACUAAAGCACGAAAGCGUGGGGAGCAAACAGG
Molecule: ribosomal RNA, 253 nt
Filed under: uncultured bacterium
Lineage: Bacteria
Description: partial 16S ribosomal RNA
Rfam family: Bacterial small subunit ribosomal RNA
Source: RNAcentral